Molecule: ribosomal RNA, 521 nt
Filed under: Selaginella hainanensis
Lineage: Eukaryota; Viridiplantae; Streptophyta; Lycopodiopsida; Selaginellales; Selaginellaceae
Description: partial 26S ribosomal RNA
Rfam family: Eukaryotic large subunit ribosomal RNA
Source: RNAcentral
GUGGGCGUUCCAUUCGACCCGUCUUGAAACACGGACCAAGGAGUCUAACAUGUAUGCGAGCCUGCGGGUGACAAACCUUGAGGCGCAAGGAAACUGAUCUGUGGGAUCCCCUCNGGGGAGCACCAUUGACCGACCCUGAUCUUUUGUGAAAGGUUCGAGUGAUAGUAUGCAUGUUAGGACCCGAAAGAUGGUGAACUAUGCCUGAGCAGGGCGAAGCCAGAGGAAACUCUGGUGGAGGCUCGUAGCGAUACUGACGUGCAAAUCGUUCGUCGGACUUGGGUAUAGGGGCGAAAGACUAAUCGAACCAUCUAGUAGCUGGUUCCGGCCGAAGUUUCCCUCAGGAUAGCUGGAGCUCGUUUCAUGAGUUUUAUCGGGUAAAGCGAAUGAUUAGAGGCCUCGGGGGUGAAACACCCUCGACCUAUUCUCAAACUUUAAAUAGGUAAGGCGUCGGGGUUGCUCUGGUGAACCCCGGCNCUUGAAUCUGAGCUCCAAGUGGGCCAUUUUUGGUAAGCAGAACUGGC